AAUGGUCGGAAGACUGAUCCAGCCAUGCCGCGUGCAGGAAGACUGCCUAUGGGUUGUAAACUGCUUUUAUAUGGGAAGAAAAGGCCUACGUGUAGGCUGAUGACGGUACCAUAAAAAUAAGCACCGGCUAACUCCGUGCCACCAGCCGCGGUAAUACGGAGGGUGCAAGCGUUUUCCGGAAUCAUUGGGUUUAAAGGGUCCGUAGGCGGGUUUAUAAGUCAGUGGUGAAAGUCUGCAGCUUAACUGUAGAACUGCCAUUGAUACUGUAGAUCUUGAAUUAUUGUGAAGUGGUUAGAAUAUGUAGUGUAGCGGUGAAAUGCUUAGAGAUUACAUAGAAUACCGAUUGCGAAGGCAGAUCACUAACAAUAUAUUGACGCUGAUGGACGAAAGCGUAGGUAGCGAACAGGAUU
This 410-nucleotide ribosomal RNA is filed under the name uncultured Flavobacteriia bacterium. RNAcentral describes it as "bacterial SSU rRNA". It matches the Rfam family "Bacterial small subunit ribosomal RNA", at positions 370 to 779 of the family's 1533-position model. The record is from RNAcentral. Lineage: Bacteria; Pseudomonadati; Bacteroidota; Flavobacteriia.